GAUGAACGCUGGCGGCGUGCCUAAUACAUGCAAGUCGAGCGAACGGACGAGAAGCUUGCUUCUCUGAUGUUAGCGGCGGACGGGUGAGUAACACGUGGAUAACCUACCUAUAAGACUGGGAUAACUUCGGGAAACCGGAGCUAAUACCGGAUAAUAUUUUGAACCGCAUGGUUCAAAAGUGAAAGACGGUCUUGCUGUCACUUAUAGAUGGAUCCGCGCUGCAUUAGCUAGUUGGUAAGGUAACGGCUUACCAAGGCAACGAUGCAUAGCCGACCUGAGAGGGUGGUCGGACACACUGGAACUGAGACACGGUCCAGACUCCUACGGGAGGCAGCAGUAGGGAAUCUUCGGCAAUGGGCGAAAGCCUGACGGAGCAACGCCGCGUGAGUAAUGAAGGUUUUCGGAUCGUAAAACUCUGUUAUUAGGGAAGAACAUAUGUGUAAGUAACUGUGCACAUCUUGACGGUACCUAAUCAGAAAGCCACGGCUAACUACGUG
This 497-nucleotide ribosomal RNA is filed under the name uncultured bacterium. Its description in RNAcentral is "partial 16S ribosomal RNA". It matches the Rfam family "Bacterial small subunit ribosomal RNA", at positions 28 to 507 of the family's 1533-position model. The record is from RNAcentral.